UGCCUACGAUGUUCAGGGUGCCGGGAAUACAAAAGGCAAAGACUUGACUUCUGCCCUCAGGGUGCUUGAAAGCUGAACGGAGACACUGAGGACGAGAGUGUGACAUGAAAAGGAACAGGCCGGGGAGUAAAUGUGGACACAAAGGGUCAUCAGAACUUCAGUGGCCCGCUCUGUGCUUGGCCUCCUCACACCUUGGCCUUCCCUUCUUGGUCCUUUUCAUGGCCCUUCCUCCUCCUGAGUCGCUGAUGUUCUCCAAGCUCCAUCACUGGCCUCUUCCCAUCCUGCCCCACGCAGCCAUCCCGCACGGACUCACCUCCUCUUUCCAUAGAAUCAGCCGCCACCUCCCAGUGGUUCUCAACAGGGUACGAGGGGAGGGAGGAGAAGCCGAGGGGAAUCACCUAGAAUCAUUUGGUGAGAAGGGCGUUCCCGCCGGUGACACCACCAUUCGCUCGCUCAGUCCUCCCAAGAAAGAAACUUGAGGUCAUCCGUGAAAGUUACCUUGCCGUCCUGCUGGGAGUCGAGCGACCUCCGAGCCCUGAAAAUGUUACCUCCCGAGUAUCAUUCCAACUCGUCACCUCCUCUCCGUUCUUACUCCGAUCCCCCAGUUCAGGGACUGAAGACAACGGUAUCUGGGGAGGGCCGUGUGGUUGGUCCACUUAGGCUGAGUUCAAGUGGCAUGAGUAGAUUUACCAGAAGGCCGCCCCCCUGCAGAAGAGGCUCUUUAUAACCCCACAGACGGGGGGACCCCUGGGCCGACGGGGGCUCAUGAAACAAAGCAGCCAGAGAGGCAGGAAUAGAGAGGCUGUGUUGCACGUGCCGGGGCUCUGGAAGAUGCUAACAUCAGGCGAAGCUGGGGGAGGGGGACACGGGAACCUUCUGUACCAUCUGUGCCAGUGUUCUGUAAAUCUCAGGCAAGGGGCGAACGCUCUCAGGA
This is a long non-coding RNA of Leopardus geoffroyi (Geoffroy's cat), 934 nucleotides long. RefSeq lists it as uncharacterized. NCBI's taxonomy places the organism in Eukaryota, Metazoa, Chordata, Mammalia, Carnivora, Felidae. The record is from RefSeq and is a predicted model, not a curated record. The transcript is spliced from 2 exons.